Molecule: ribosomal RNA, 374 nt
Filed under: uncultured bacterium
Lineage: Bacteria
Description: bacterial SSU rRNA
Rfam family: Bacterial small subunit ribosomal RNA
Source: RNAcentral
GAUGAACGCUAGCGGCAGGCUUAACACAUGCAAGUCGAGGGGUAGAGGAAGCUUGCUUCCUUGAGACCGGCGCACGGGUGCGUAACGCGUAUACAAUCUACCUUUUACAGAGGGAUAGCCCAGAGAAAUUUGGAUUAAUACCUCAUAGUAUUUUCGGAUCGCAUGAUUUGAUUAUUAAAGUUCCAACGGUAAAGAUGAGUAUGCGUCCCAUUAGCUAGAUGGUAAGGUAACGGCUUACCAUGGCAAUGAUGGGUAGGGGUCCUGAGAGGGAGAUCCCCCACACUGGUACUGAGACACGGACCAGACUCCUACGGGAGGCAGCAGUGAGGAAUAUUGGACAAUGGGCGCGAAGCCUGAUCCAGCCAUGCCGCGUG